CGUUACAUUUUGAGAAGUUUCUGCACACACUUUGGCGGUCAUUUCAGCGGUCUAAUAAUUCUGUGAAUAUUUGUUCUAAAGUGUCGUUUGUCUGAUGUCAGUGGAGUGGAAUUAUGGAUCAACUGGACGAUGUUUCAAUUGCCACACUCAGAGGACACUGUUGCCAAAAAGCUCUUGAAGCGACUUUCAAAUAUCCGAAGUCCUGUGAAGGCCAAACAGCCUCAUUCCAAAAGAGCACGUCAGGACAAAGAAACUUCUGCUACAGUGCCCAGUGACUAUGAUGCUGAUUCCAGUGCAUCAACAGUCAAUCUGUCACCACCUGCAAGAUCCAACCACCCCACAGGAAGAAAAUGAUAGCAUAGAUGAUGCAUAGGUUUGCGAGCAACUGAGAGAGACCAGCAUGUUUCUGUCAUGGUCCUGCCCCGCCAGCUUCCGUUCCUGCUUAUAUUCUGACACCACUUCCUGUCCCCAGUUUACCCUAACUCCCGGUAACUUCAUCUCAUCAUGCACAUUGGUUUCACCUGCCCCUUAAUCACUCACACCUGCUCACCACAGUAUUUAGCAGCUCCUCACCCUGUGGGGAGCUGCCAGAUUGUUCUAUGCCCGGUCUAGACUCUCCAGCAUUAAUUUCCAGUGACUGCUAUCCUGAUACCGAUCCCCUGCCUGUCCUACCGACCUGUGAUCCAGCCUCCUCCCUCUUGCCUGACUGCUACCUGGAGAUCGAUGCCCUGCCUGUUCUAAUGACCUAUGAUUCUGCCUUGCCUUCCCUGUUGCCCUGCCGGAGAUUUUGACCACAGACUAAGUACUGCUCUCUGCCUGAUCCCUCAAGACUGUGUCUGUUCACAUCUAACUUACAGAAAGACAUUAAACCCUGUUCUGCUGCCUCAGCUUUCUGGCUCUUUAAUUGGGUUCACACCUCCACCUUCACGGGAGCUUCACACACCCCUCCCUAACAGUUUCAGCGUCCUGAGGAUAAAAAAGCA
Monopterus albus (swamp eel) is the source of this 983-nucleotide long non-coding RNA. RefSeq lists it as uncharacterized. NCBI's taxonomy places the organism in Eukaryota, Metazoa, Chordata, Actinopteri, Synbranchiformes, Synbranchidae. The transcript has 3 exons. The record is from RefSeq and is a predicted model, not a curated record.